AGUGCAGCCGAGUUCUCAUCGCGCGAGAGUUGGGAGUGUCCGCUGUGGGCGGGAGCGAUGCGCUCCCUCAGAGGCAGUGCGGUAUAUGAAUAAUGAGAGGAUAAAUAUAGAUGUAAAACACUCCAUCUGCUGUUGCCUAGAUUACUUUCACCCUCCUACAUGUAACAUCCUGAGUUGUUAAGAGACCAGCAGCUCUGUUCUAGGGAUGCUGCCGUCCAGUAGAAUGAAUGAUCUUCAUUCAGUACCUGCAGACAGCUGUUGCUGUGCCAGCAUUAUCUGUGUUACAGCUGAAACUGUGUGCAUAACUGGGACAUCACAGCUUUCUUCUGACAGUCACUCCUUGCACACCAUCUCUGCGGGGUGUUGGAUGACCAGGAGUGCAUCCCAUUGUCCCCAGGCAGGAACCAGCCCUGGGAUGUGGACACAUUCAUUACCACUGUGAAAAGAUUUCGACUCGCUUUGUGAGUCCUUGUGUCUAUUUAUAUAUGGAAUUUAAAGGCAAGGAUGGUGGCAGGUUGGCCUUACAGUGAAGUUUGUGGCUAGUGAGGAUGCAGAGGAACACAGGGAAGACAUUGCUGGCUUCACUUCAGUUGCAACUGAAGACCUGCAGCAUUCUGCUCAGACUGGAUCCCGCUGGAGGUGACUGGCAGGCAGUAUUCCCUGCACAUGGUGAGAACAGAGAGCGAGAACAUCGCCUCUAUCACAUGAAUACAGAUUAGAGAACUUGGCUCCCAGAGCUGCUGUCUAAUCUGGCAGCUAAAGUCACUGCAUAACACUGAAAGAAAUAAAAGUGAAUUUCUUACUGUAGUUGCAUUGCAAUUUUCAAAUAAUGUAUUUCAGAAGAUGGCAGAGAAUACUGACAGCCUGACUGUAACCCUUAGGAAAUAGCAGAACAGCAUACAAUGAUUAUUAGGCACUUCAUUAACCUCUAUGGAAGCAGUAUUUGUUAUUAACUGGCUCAGACCUUUCAGUGGCCAGCUACAGCCACUAAUGGGUCUGGGAACCACGUCCAGUUUUGGUUCUUUCUACCAAAUAUUGAAAGUACCAUCAGUUUGUCUGGAGGAGCAUAGAGGUAAAUAGGAAACUAAUUUUGGA
Molecule: long non-coding RNA, 1095 nt
Organism: Coturnix japonica (Japanese quail)
Lineage: Eukaryota; Metazoa; Chordata; Aves; Galliformes; Phasianidae
Source: RefSeq, a predicted model, not a curated record